GGGGGAGUUUGUUAGGAAAAUGUGUAAUUGGCAAUCUAUGACCAAAGGACCUAUUUAUCAUAAUUGUAAAGUCAAGGACUAAAUUGUCCAGGUCAAAUAGUUCAGGGACUAAAGUUGUAAUUUAGUAAAGGUCAUAGCAUAGGUCUAGGGUAAAGUGGGAUGCUUUGAAGAUGCAAACGGCGGGUUGAUGUCGCUGGAGUUUCGCCCUGACCUUGCUAGAGCCAAAAUUGCAGAACUGACUUCGCUGGAGUUUCGCUGGUCUAUCGCUUGAGCGAAGGUACGUCGCUCGAGUUUCGCCAGGACCUCGCUCGAGCGACCAUGUUAUCUGGCCAUCGGUAAUUUUAAUGCCUCGCGAAUUUUUAAUGCCCUAUAUUACCAAAUUCGACCUACUAUAUAAACAAAAACUUUUGAUUUUCUAAUGUGACCUUUGGCAAACAUUAAAAUAACAAUUCCUCUCAACUUCCAAAGGAUCAAAAGCCAAAAUAAAUUCAUGCUUUUCAUCUUUGAUUCUCAUGGUUCUUUGAAUAAAAACAUCGACCCUCACAAAACCAAAACACCCUUUCAUAUCUCCAUAUAAACUUCCAGAAGAUCAUCUGUUUGAAGAUCCCGGAAGGAAAUUGCUUGAAGAACUGGAGAGCUUGGUGAUUCACAAAAAGUAGAAGAUAUUCAAAGCUGGGAUUUUGGCGCAGAUCUGAAAAAUCCAGGACAGCUGUGGUCGAUACAGUAAGGAGGUCAGAAUAUUGUUAAAAUCAAUAAUGUCUGACGUACUGUAAGUCAAUAUCUUCUAUAGUGGAUCUCUACUGGC
This 805-nucleotide long non-coding RNA is filed under the name Olea europaea subsp. europaea. The record is from RNAcentral. Lineage: Eukaryota; Viridiplantae; Streptophyta; Magnoliopsida; Lamiales; Oleaceae.